Molecule: small nuclear RNA, 120 nt
Filed under: Sorex araneus (European shrew)
Lineage: Eukaryota; Metazoa; Chordata; Mammalia; Eulipotyphla; Soricidae
Description: U4 spliceosomal RNA (ENSSARG00000018277.1)
Rfam family: U4 spliceosomal RNA
About the family: U4 small nuclear RNA (U4 snRNA) is a component of the major U2-dependent spliceosome. The structure of U4 snRNA from yeast and human has been reported.
Source: RNAcentral
AGCUUUGCACAGGGGCAGUACUGUAGCCAAUGAGGUUUAUCCAAGAUGUGAUUAUUGAUAACUGAAAACUUCUCCCAGUUUUUUCUGUUAGCAACAACUCUCUGCUCUGGAUCUAGUUCA